AAGGCUAUACUUUCAGGGAUCAUUUCUAUAGUAUGUUACCAGAGAAGUUUCUCUGAUUGUGUAGAGUACCAGAAACCACGAGGAGGAGGCGUAGUAUUCCUUCCUGAGUGUGAAGCCAGCUCUUGGUGUUGCUUUGGUGAACUGCCACUUGCCAUUGAUGAUCGUUCUUGCUUUCUCCUUGUGGGAAGCAAGAGGGAAGGAACGCAGUCUGAGUGGCU
Molecule: small nucleolar RNA, 218 nt
Organism: Chinchilla lanigera (long-tailed chinchilla)
Lineage: Eukaryota; Metazoa; Chordata; Mammalia; Rodentia; Chinchillidae
Source: Ensembl